CCUACGGGCGGCUGCAGUGGGGAAUAUUGCACAAUGGGCGCAAGCCUGAUGCAGCCAUGCCGCGUGUGUGAAGAAGGCCUUCGGGUUGUAAAGCACUUUCAGCGGGGAGGAAGGCGUUAAGGUUAAUAACCUUGGCGAUUGACGUUACCCGCAGAAGAAGCACCGGCUAACUCCGUGCCAGCAGCCGCGGUAAUACGGAGGGGUGCAAGCGUUAAUCGGAAUUACUGGGCGUAAAGCGCACGCAGGCGGUCUGUCAAGUCGGAUGUGAAAUCCCCGGGCUCAACCUGGGAACUGCAUUCGAAACUGGGAGGCUAGAGGCGUGUAGAGGGGGGUAGAAUUCCAGGUGUAGCGGUGAAAUGCGGAGGGAUCUGGAGGAAUACCGGUGGCGAAGGCGGCCCCCUGGACAAAGACUGACGCUCAGGUGCGAAAGCGUGGGGAGCAAACAGGAUUAGAUACCCGAGUAGUC
RNAcentral lists this ribosomal RNA (466 nucleotides) under uncultured Klebsiella sp. RNAcentral describes it as "bacterial SSU rRNA". It matches the Rfam family "Bacterial small subunit ribosomal RNA", at positions 338 to 795 of the family's 1533-position model. The record is from RNAcentral. Lineage: Bacteria; Pseudomonadati; Pseudomonadota; Gammaproteobacteria; Enterobacterales; Enterobacteriaceae.